Molecule: ribosomal RNA, 472 nt
Filed under: uncultured bacterium
Lineage: Bacteria
Description: partial 16S ribosomal RNA
Rfam family: Bacterial small subunit ribosomal RNA
Source: RNAcentral
GACGAACGCUGGCGGCGUGCUUAACACAUGCAAGUCGAACGCUGAAGCUUGGUGCUUGCACUGGGUGGAUGAGUGGCGAACGGGUGAGUAAUACGUGAGUAACCUGCCCUUGACUCUGGGAUAAGCCUGGGAAACUGGGUCUAAUACUGGAUAUGACAUGCCACUGCAUGGUGGUGUGUGGAAAGGGUUUUAUUGGUUUUGGAUGGGCUCACGGCCUAUCAGCUUGUUGGUGGGGUAAUGGCCUACCAAGGCGACGACGGGUAGCCGGCCUGAGAGGGUGACCGGCCACACUGGGACUGAGACACGGCGCAGACGCCUACGUGACGCAGCAGUGGGGAAUAUUGCACAAUGGGCGGAAGCCUGAUGCAGCGACGCCGCGUGAGGGAUGACGGCCUUCGGGUUGUAAACCUCUUUCAGCACGGAAGAAGCGAGAGUGACGGUACGUGCAGAAGAAGCGCCGGCUAACUACGUG